RNAcentral lists this ribosomal RNA (461 nucleotides) under uncultured bacterium. RNAcentral describes it as "bacterial SSU rRNA". It matches the Rfam family "Bacterial small subunit ribosomal RNA", at positions 958 to 1398 of the family's 1533-position model. The record is from RNAcentral.
AACGCGAAGAACCUUACCUGGGCUUGACAUGUGCGAAAGCGGUAGGAAGUAGUCUGCGGAAACGUCUGACCAACGGUAUCCAAUCCGGAACCUACCACAGGUGCUGCAUGGCUGUCGUCAGCUCGUGUCGUGAGAUGUCGGGUUAAGUCCCAUAACGAGCGAAACCCUUGUUUCCAGUUGCCAGCGGGUCAUGCCGGGGACUCUGGAAAGACUGCCGGUGUUAAACCGGAGGAAGGUGGGGAUGACGUCAAGUCCUCAUGGCCUUUAUGUCCAGGGCUGCACACGUGCUACAAUGGCACAUACAAAGGGAUGCCAACUCGCGAGAGGGAGCCAAUCCCAAAAAGUGUGCCCCAGUUCAGAUUGCAGGCUGCAACUCGCCUGCAUGAAGUUGGAAUCGCUAGUAAUCGCAGGUCAGCAACACUGCGGUGAAUGUGUUCCCGGGCCUUGUACACACCGGAGUA